Molossus molossus (Pallas's mastiff bat) is the source of this 107-nucleotide small nuclear RNA. The record is from RefSeq and is a predicted model, not a curated record. NCBI's taxonomy places the organism in Eukaryota, Metazoa, Chordata, Mammalia, Chiroptera, Molossidae.
GUGCUGGCUUCAGCAUCACAUACACUAAAAUUGAAAUGAUACAGUGAAGAUUAGCAUGGCCCCUGCACAAGGAUGACACGCAAAUUUGUGAAGCAUUCCAUAUUUUC